AGAGAGAGAGCCAGUGGAGAGAGAGCAGCUUGAAAAAAGUUUAUAAACCAGAAACUUCACCCAGCGCACAUUACCGGAGGAAUCUGAUCAGAAAUCGGCAACAAAUGAUGAACAUCUGCAGUCCAGAUUCCAGGUUUUCCUGAUGGUUUUACUCAGGUAAAUAAUGCUAUUUAUAUCUCUGUUAGUUAGCUCAGUGUUUACCUCAUGCAUCAACUCUGUAAACCGUAAACACACACUCUGUUUUACGUCUGUCUUUACAGGUCCAUCUGUGAGAAAUGACCGACAGAAUCAUCCCAGAGGAGAGCAGACAGCUGAGAGCA
Sebastes umbrosus (honeycomb rockfish) is the source of this 320-nucleotide long non-coding RNA. RefSeq lists it as uncharacterized. The transcript has 5 exons. NCBI's taxonomy places the organism in Eukaryota, Metazoa, Chordata, Actinopteri, Perciformes, Sebastidae. The record is from RefSeq and is a predicted model, not a curated record.